AGAAGACACAGGAGUUUGUUCUGAAGGCACAGAUGUAUCGUCUGUAGAGCACAAUAAUAAACAAGUGAGUGUCCAGGAUUUGCAGUCGUUUAUUCUGACCCAAAGACUGAAAAAAGGUGUAACUACACAAUCAGCGGGUUCAAAUUACCCCUAAUGAUAACUCCAGUGCCAGGAACUUCAUGCCUCUACGAUUAAACCCUUUUGCACACCAUACACGUCCCGUCCUGUGGAGCCAGUCACGACUACGUGCAGAUACCCACAUCUACUUCUCACUGGAGCUAUGCAAGCUACGUGUCUGCAUUCUGCUCUACUCUGCCUGGACAGAACUCUGCUGCAGAUGAAUGAGGAAGAUGUCCUGCCAGGAAGGAAUGAAGAGGGAUGGCAGCGGUGGCUUGGAUCAACCCUUUACUCCUACUGCUGCCUGCCACGCCAGCUACGUAUGGGCACUCUGC
This 452-nucleotide long non-coding RNA is filed under the name Manacus vitellinus (golden-collared manakin). RNAcentral's name for it is "lncRNA (ENSMVIG00005009082.1)". Lineage: Eukaryota; Metazoa; Chordata; Aves; Passeriformes; Pipridae. The record is from RNAcentral.